GGGCAGUGCGGGUCUACCAUGCAGUCGAGCGGUAAGGCCCUUCGGGGUACACGAGCGGCGAACGGGUGAGUAACACGUGAGCAACCUGCCCCUGACUCCGGGAUAAGCGGUGGAAACGCCGUCUAAUACCGGAUACGACCGGCCGCCUCAUGGUGGCCGGUGGAAAGUUCUUCGGUUGGGGAUGGGCUCGCGGCCUAUCAGCUUGUUGGUGGGGUAAAGGCCUACCAAGGCGAUUACGGGUAGCCGGCCUGAGAGGGCGACCGGCCACACUGGGACUGAGACACGGCCCAGACUCCUGCGGGAGGCAGCAGUGGGGAAUAUUGCGCAAUGGGCGAAAGCCUGACGCAGCGACGCCGCGUGGGGGAUGACGGCCUUCGGGUUGUAAACCUCUUUUACCACCAACGCAGGCUCCCAGUUCUCUGGGGGUUGACGGUAGGUGGGGAAUAAGGACCGGCUAACUACGUGCCAGCAGCCGCGGUAAUACGUAGGGUCCGAGCGUUGUCCGGAAUUAUUGGGCGUAAAGAGCUCGUAGGCGGCGUGUCGCGUCUGCUGUGAAAGACCGGGGCUUAACUCCGGUUCUGCAGUGGAUACGGGCAUGCUAGAGGUAGGUAGGGGAGACUGGAAUUCCUGGUGUAGCGGUGAAAUGCGCAGAUAUCAGGAGGAACACCGGUGGCGAAGGCGGGUCUCUGGGCCUUACCUGACGCUGAGGAGCGAAAGCAUGGGGAGCGAACAGGAUUAGAUACCCUGGUAGUCCAUGCCGUAAACGUUGGGCGCUAGGUGUGGGGACUUUCCACGGUUUCCGCGCCGUAGCUAACGCAUUAAGCGCCCCGCCUGGGGAGUACGGCCGCAAGGCUAAAACUCAAAGGAAUUGACGGGGGCCCGCACAAGCGGCGGAGCAUGUUGCUUAAUUCGACGCAACGCGAAGAACCUUACCAAGGUUUGACAUCACCCGUGGACCUGCAGAGAUGUGGGGUCAUUUAGUUGGUGGGUGACAGGUGGU
Molecule: ribosomal RNA, 1000 nt
Filed under: Nocardiopsis sp. ZZY-2013
Lineage: Bacteria; Bacillati; Actinomycetota; Actinomycetes; Streptosporangiales; Nocardiopsidaceae
Description: bacterial SSU rRNA
Rfam family: Bacterial small subunit ribosomal RNA
Source: RNAcentral